UACAGAGGUCUCAAGCGUUGUUCGGAUUCAUUGGGCGUAAAGGGUGCGUAGGCGGCGCGGUAAGUCGGAUGUGAAAUCUCGGAGCUUAACUUCGAAACUGCAUUCGAUACUGCCGUGCUUGAGGACUGGAGAGGAGACUGGAAUUUACGGUGUAGCGGUGAAAUGCGUAGAUAUCGGGAGGAACACCAAUGGCGAAGGCAGCUCGCUGGGACGGUACUGACGCUGAGACGCGAAAGCGUGGGGAGCAAACAGG
RNAcentral lists this ribosomal RNA (253 nucleotides) under uncultured bacterium. RNAcentral describes it as "partial 16S ribosomal RNA". It matches the Rfam family "Bacterial small subunit ribosomal RNA", at positions 524 to 776 of the family's 1533-position model. The record is from RNAcentral.